RNAcentral lists this long non-coding RNA (451 nucleotides) under Glycine max (soybean). RNAcentral's name for it is "long non-coding RNA (GMAX_LNC003544)". Lineage: Eukaryota; Viridiplantae; Streptophyta; Magnoliopsida; Fabales; Fabaceae. The record is from RNAcentral.
GGUUUUAAAUGAAGAGUUAGCAAAACCUAAUCUACAAGGACAUGAUGAAGAAGCAAAGUUUAAAGGAUUUAUUCCAAAGCCAAUUCCCAUAGUGAAGCCUAUUCCAAAACCAUUUCCCAUCAUUAAGCCUAUUCCAAAGAUAAUUCCUAUCGCCAAACCUAUUCCUAUUCCGAUUUAUAAGCCUAUAUCAAAAUCAAUUCCCAUUAUUAAGCCUGUUCCAAAGAUAAUUCCCAUUAUUAAACCAAUUCCAAUUAUUAAACCUGUACCAAAACCAAUUCCCAUUAUUAAGCCUGUCCCAAAACCAUUUAUAGUGAAAAAGCCUAUCCCUGUUGAGUCGGAGGAAUUUCUAAAACCAAAGCCUUUCUUCAAAAAGCCUAUUCCUAAACUACCACUUCACCCUAAAUUCAAGAAACCAAUUCUACCAUCAUUGCCAAUUCACAAGCCAAUUCCA